GGGCCGGUAGCUCAGUUGGUAGAGCGCUACAUUUGCAAUGUAGAGGUCAUGGGUUCGAAUCCCAUUCGGUCCACCA
RNAcentral lists this transfer RNA (76 nucleotides) under candidate division WWE3 bacterium CG_4_9_14_0_2_um_filter_35_11. Its description in RNAcentral is "tRNA-Ala". It matches the Rfam family "tRNA". From Rfam's summary of the family: Transfer RNA (tRNA) molecules are approximately 80 nucleotides in length. Their secondary structure includes four short double-helical elements and three loops (D, anti-codon, and T loops). The record is from RNAcentral. Lineage: Bacteria; candidate division WWE3. RNAcentral also lists the same sequence under 1 other name.